GACGAACGCUGGCGGCGUGCUUAACACAUGCAAGUCGAACGGAAAGGCCCUGCUUUUGUGGGGUGCUCGAGUGGCGAACGGGUGAGUAACACGGGAGUAACCUGCCCUUGACUUUGGGAUAACUUCAGGAAACUGGGGCUAAUACCGGCUAGGAGCUCCUGCUGCAUGGUGGGGGUUGGAAAGUUUCGGCGGUUGGGGAUGGACUCGCGGCUUAUCAGCUUGUUGGUGGGGUAGUGGCUUACCAAGGCUUUGACGGGUAGCCGGCCUGAGAGGGUGACCGGCCACAUUGGGACUGAGAGACGGCCCAGACUCCUACGGGAGGCAGCAGUGGGGAAUAUUGCACAAUGGGCGGAAGCCUGAUGCAGCAACGCCGCGUGCGGGAUGACGGCCUUCGGGUUGUAAACCGCUUUCGCCUGUGACGAAGCGUGAGUGACGGUAAUGGGUAAAGAAGCACCGGCUAACUACGUG
RNAcentral lists this ribosomal RNA (468 nucleotides) under uncultured bacterium. Its description in RNAcentral is "partial 16S ribosomal RNA". It matches the Rfam family "Bacterial small subunit ribosomal RNA", at positions 28 to 507 of the family's 1533-position model. The record is from RNAcentral.